Molecule: ribosomal RNA, 464 nt
Filed under: uncultured bacterium
Lineage: Bacteria
Description: partial 16S ribosomal RNA
Rfam family: Bacterial small subunit ribosomal RNA
Source: RNAcentral
GACGAACGCUGGCGGCGUGCCUAACACAUGCAAGUCGAGCGAAUGAAGUUCCUUCGGGAAUGGAUUUAGCGGCGGACGGGUGAGUAACACGUGGGCAACCUGCCUCAUAGAGGGGAAUAGCCUCCCGAAAGGGAGAUUAAUACCGCAUAAGAUUGUAGUACCGCAUGAUACAGCAAUUAAAGGAGCAAUCCGCUAUGAGAUGGGCCCGCGGCGCAUUAGCUAGUUGGUGAGGUAAUGGCUCACCAAGGCGACGAUGCGUAGCCGACCUGAGAGGGUGAUCGGCCACAUUGGGACUGAGACACGGCCCAGACUCCUACGGGAGGCAGCAGUGGGGAAUAUUGCACAAUGGGGGAAACCCUGAUGCAGCAACGCCGCGUGAGUGAUGACGGCCUUCGGGUUGUAAAGCUCUGUCUUCAGGGACGAUAAUGACGGUACCCGAGGAGGAAGCCACGGCUAACUACGUG